CUGAUUUUUAUAUUAAACAUCAUUCUAUACUCCACUCUAAUACAACACUUAAAGUAUAUAUUUCAGAUAUUGCUUCCAUAUAAAGAACAUUCUAGAACUAUAGUUCUAUAGAACCUAGUCUUUAUUAUGCUUAUGUAAAGAACUUGGAUUAAAAACUUCAGUGCACAUUCCGUAUGAGGAAAUUUAUUAAGUGUGGAGAGAGAAGGCAAAUUAUCACUUUUCUUUUCUCUGACCAUAUUGCCUACCCCACCUGAUCUUUGAGAUCCUUGAUUUCCCUUCUGGUUCCUUCUCAUAUCUAUGACACACAGAAUUUGGAGUACCUUAGGAUGUAGUCCUUGGACAUUUCCUCUCUCCUGUCUACACUCAUUCAGUAAGUGAUGUCAUUAGCAUCUUGACUUCGAACACCAUUUAUGGCUGAUCACCUAAAAGCACAUUUUAAGCCCUCUUGCCUGAAUUCCAAGCAUGCAUAGGCAAAUGCCCAUUCUUGAUGGUUUUAUAUUGUGUCACAUGUGCUAAGCUAGAACUGUGUUUACCAAAAUUCCCUCCUAGCACAUUUCAGGUUAGAGUUAGCCAAGUAAAGUUUUGUCUAAGAAUUGAAAACGGACUGAAAUAGCUGUUGUUAUGCUCUAAGGUAUAGGUAUGUCAUUGCUGUUGCAGCAUAACCACGUUGUUGCUACUCCACUGGGUCACCUUGCUGUUGUGCAAUAUCCAGAUCCCCAUCCCUUGGGUUGACAUUAGACCCUUUCUUUUAGCUUCUCCGAGUCUUAGUCUAGGAUUGUGUGCAUCCCUUGACAAGGGGCUUCAAUCUCUUUUUUAGGUCACAAUUAGAUUAGGGCAUUUGUCUUCUAAAAUUUAUUAUAUCCAAAACUAAGUUCUUGAUAUUCCUGCUGGCAUAAACUUACUUGCAUCACAUUCUUUCUUAACUCAUUUCAUCAAAACUUUGUCUUUCUUGUAGGUCAGGCCAAAAAUCUUGGAGUCAUCCUUGAUGUUCCAUUUACUCGCUUCCCAUGUCCUGUGCAUCAGAUUCAACCCUGUUUACCUACUUCCACUUCUACUUCACUCCAAGACACCAUCGUAUCUUGCCUGGAUAAUUGCAAAGUAAAGAGGAAGAUAAGAUGAAAAAAAGAAGUUAUCACUUUGCCCUUGAAUGGUCAGUAACUACCAGAGACACACUCCUACGCAAAACAAAAUAAAAUCAUUAAAUGACCCUCCAUUCUUCACAUCCUACCUACCUUUGUUGACUGCGCCAGAUAUUUAUACCAGUCUAUUUAUGCUGAAUAACCAGAAAUUUAAAAGAUUAAGUGUAUUGAAACAGAAGAAAAGUGGGACUUCUCUUCAUAGUAUUCAGUGGGUAAGGGAAAAUGAGUACUAAGUGUCCUUGGAAUCUAGGAAGGCAGACCCGAAGGAGAUGGUAAAAUGGAAAUGGGAUGCUAAAAUGAAGCUAAUGUAUUGAUCAUCUUUUAGCAGUCCAUGAAGCCCUAAUCCUUUACCAUAAAAAUCCUG
This 1503-nucleotide long non-coding RNA is filed under the name Equus caballus (horse). Its description in RNAcentral is "lncRNA (ENSECAG00000044283.1)". Lineage: Eukaryota; Metazoa; Chordata; Mammalia; Perissodactyla; Equidae. The record is from RNAcentral.